RNAcentral lists this ribosomal RNA (324 nucleotides) under uncultured bacterium. RNAcentral's name for it is "bacterial SSU rRNA". It matches the Rfam family "Bacterial small subunit ribosomal RNA", at positions 28 to 334 of the family's 1533-position model. The record is from RNAcentral.
GAUGAACGCUGGCGGCGUGCUUAACACAUGCAAGUCGAACGAAGCGCUUGAAUGGAAUUCUUCGGAAGGAAGCUCAAGUGACUGAGUGGCGGACGGGUGAGUAACGCGUGGGUAACCUGCCUCAUACAGGGGGAUAACAGUUAGAAAUGACUGCUAAUACCGCAUAAGCACACGUGAUCGCAUGAUCGAGUGUGAAAAACUCCGGUGGUAUGAGAUGGACCCGCGUCUGAUUAGCUAGUUGGUGGGGUAACGGCCCACCAAGGCGACGAUCAGUAGCCGGCCUGAGAGGGUGAACGGCCACAUUGGGACUGAGACACGGCCCAA